This 1343-nucleotide ribosomal RNA is filed under the name uncultured bacterium. Its description in RNAcentral is "16S ribosomal RNA". It matches the Rfam family "Bacterial small subunit ribosomal RNA", at positions 28 to 1378 of the family's 1533-position model. The record is from RNAcentral.
GACGAACGCUGGCGGCGUGCUUAACACAUGCAAGUCGAACGGAAAGGCCCUGCUUUUGUGGGGUGCUCGAGUGGCGAACGGGUGAGUAACACGUGAGUAACCUGCCCUUGACUUUGGGAUAACUUCAGGAAACUGGGGCUAAUACCGGAUAGGAGCUCCUGCUGCAUGGUGGGGGUUGGAAAGUUUCGGCGGUUGGGGAUGGACUCGCGGCUUAUCAGCUUGUUGGUGGGGUAGUGGCUUACCAAGGCUUUGACGGGUAGCCGGCCUGAGAGGGUGACCGGCCACAUUGGGACUGAGAUACGGCCCAGACUCCUACGGGAGGCAGCAGUGGGGAAUAUUGCGCAAUGGGCGGAAGCCUGAUGCAGCAACGCCGCGUGCGGGAUGACGGCCUUCGGGUUGUAAACCGCUUUCGCCUGUGACGAAGCGUGAGUGACGGUAAUGGGUAAAGAAGCACCGGCUAACUACGUGCCAGCAGCCGCGGUGAUACGUAGGGUGCGAGCGUUGUCCGGAUUUAUUGGGCGUAAAGGGCUCGUAGGUGGUUGAUCGCGUCGGAAGUGUAAUCUUGGGGCUUAACCCUGAGCGUGCUUUCGAUACGGGUUGACUUGAGGAAGGUAGGGGAGAAUGGAAUUCCUGGUGGAGCGGUGGAAUGCGCAGAUAUCAGGAGGAACACCAGUGGCGAAGGCGGUUCUCUGGGCCUUUCCUGACGCUGAGGAGCGAAAGCGUGGGGAGCGAACAGGCUUAGAUACCCUGGUAGUCCACGCUGUAAACGGUGGGUACUAGGUGUGGGGUCCAUUCCACGGGUUCCGUGCCGUAGCUAACGCUUUAAGUACCCCGCCUGGGGAGUACGGCCGCAAGGCUAAAACUCAAAGGAAUUGACGGGGCCCCGCACAAGCGGCGGAGCAUGCGGAUUAAUUCGAUGCAACGCGUAGAACCUUACCUGGGUUUGACAUGGAUCGGGAGUGCUCAGAGAUGGGUGUGCCUCUUUUGGGGUCGGUUCACAGGUGGUGCAUGGCUGUCGUCAGCUCGUGUCGUGAGAUGUUGGGUUAAGUCCCGCAACGAGCGCAACCCUUGUUCACUGUUGCCAGCACGUUAUGGUGGGGACUCAGUGGAGACCGCCGGGGCCAACUCGGAGGAAGGUGGGGAUGACGUCAAGUCAUCAUGCCCCUUAUGUCCAGGGCUUCACGCAUGCUACAAUGGCUGGUACAGAGAGUGGCGAGCCUGUGAGGGUGAGCGAAUCUUGGAAAGCCGGUCUCAGUUCGGAUUGGGGUCUGCAACUCGACCUCAUGAAGUCGGAGUCGCUAGUAAUCGCAGAUCAGCAACGCUGCGGUGAAUACGUUCCCGGG